GACCAUUUUAUAAGGCACAACUAAGUCUGAGGAUUCAUAUAAGAAGGGAUAGUGUGGCUUUGGGAAUUUCCAAGGCUUAGUGAGGUGUUUUGUGUUGAAUAUUUUGGGAUAGGCUGUGGAUAGAAGGGCUGCAGCUUCAUUGUAAGUUUGAUUAGGCCUUUUUCGAGGGGUUCGAGGUUUUCUAGUGGAAACAGCAAUAGGAGAAUUGCUAGAUUCUGAAAGAGUUGAAGAAGGUGAAGAUGAUUGUGAAGUCCAUGAAUUAGAUGGAGAUUUUAUAAUAUCUAAAUCCAAUUUAUAAGCUGCCCUUCCACCACCCGUUAACCAAGAAGACAUUGUGCUAAAAGAGAAACAGGGGAAAAACAGAGAAGAAAUUCAAGAAUUGAAAUCUUGGAAUUCAAUGAUGAAUUCUUGAAAACCCCAUUAAGCAAUUCAGACUUAAUUCUCAAAAAUCAGGUGAAUUCUUAGGCCUGCAAAUCAGAACUGAACUUCCAAAUUGGGAAAGAACAAAGAAGAAGCUAGAGAAAAAGUACCAAUUGGCAAGAAUUGUAUUGGUUUUGGUGAAGUUUUCCAAAGAAGUACUAUGUUUUUGUAAGGACAUAAACCAAAAUAGUACAAUAACAGACUCUUAAACCCUAAAAAGUACACUCUUUUUCACUAUAAACCAAACUUUCCAAAGCAUUUUCUUUUUGCAGCACUAGUUCACUCUAACAUUUAAAAAAGAAAUUUGGCUUCAACUCACCAAACAAAACAAAUGGACAAUGGAUAAACAAACCACUCUAUCAUCAAGUCAAAACUCAAGAAAGAGAGAAUUUGCUUGGAUUUGCCCUUUGGCCAAGAAUUGAGCUAAGGAAGAAGAUGAAGCACUGAAUUCAAGAAAGCACUUUGAAAAAUGGGACUUUUGGUAGAGAAAUAUCUAAGAAUGGAAAUGAGGGUAUAAAGGAAUUCAGAAGGGUUUUAGGGUUGGCAUAUGUAUAAAUAUAGAAAGAAAGAGAAAGAGGGGUUUUAGGUACAGUGGUCACGGGAGAUGUAUAUGGAGGAAGAUAUAAGGCUAAGAUUUGUUGAUGAGAGACGGUUUCUCUCUGUGUCUGAAGAGAUUGGGGUGUAUCUGAAUACAGAGGAAAAGAACAAACAAAGGCUACAACUAUUGAGUGGACCACUAUUGCUUUGUGUAACAAUUUCCCUAUAUAUACUUUUGCAUUACAAUCACAUAUUCUCUUCGAUAAUUUGCUAAAAUGCCCUUACAAAAGCAUUAUUUCUAAGAAAAUUAUUUUAACCUUCUUGAUAAUUUGUGAUGAGAGUAUAUGACUUGUUAUGUCUUUCAUAAGAUAUGAUUCUUCGAAUCAAAGAUUCAAAUCUGACGAAUUAAGAUCUUGAAGCGGAAACGAUUGUUGAAUGAUUAGUUUAAAACAAGUUCAAGCAUGUUCUAGUUCUCAAAAGAAUUACGACACUUAAUAAACAUUAGAAGUGAAAUCAAAUACAAAAUGAUUUGUCAAAUAUAAUACAAAUUUGUAUUGUUAACAAACUUUAAAUUGCUUGAUCUCUGCCUCCUCGAAUAUGAUAUAUUUGCAAUUACAAAUUAAGAGAUAGGUUUUUCUUAGACGAGGGGAUUUUCCGAUGACAGUGGUGUCUAGCCAAUUUGUGCGUAUCUCGAGUAAUUUUAUCAAAUAUUCGUAACCUCCCACUAGCACAAGUACGGGAUAACUAUACCCACCUAUUAAAAUUUGAAUAGAGAGAAGAAGAUUUUCUUUCCGGAUAAGGGUAUGAUUUGCCCCUUUACUAUCAUAAAUACGCUUUAUUUACCCUCAGUUUAAUUUUUCUAUCAAAAAUAUCUUUACCGUUAUACAUUAGGUUCAUAUUUACUCCUUACACGUUAAAAAUGGUUACAUUUGCCCUUCGUUAUACUUUAGGAUCAUAUUUACCCUUCUACUCUUCAAAAAGGGUUACAUUUGCCUUUCGUUAUACUUUCUUGACAUAUUUAUCCUUACAAUUAUACCCUACAUUUAUCCUCAUCCGGUAGAUCGCCAUGUCCCACCUUUAUUUUCCUACAUGGGGCCUAUAUGGAUUUCUUUUUCUUCUAAUUUAAAUAUGGUCACCUAUUUAAGAUAAUUUAACCUGCCCACCCAAUUUAAAUAAGAUACACUAACUAAAAUAAAUGGAAAUCAUAAUUCCCAAUCCCCUCCCCCCCUCCCCCACUCGUCCAUCUCUCUUCUCCGGGUCAGCUUCAUGUUUUUCGGAGAGCGAGAAAAUUUUGGACAGUGCACUAGUGAACGAAACUAUAGUGUUAUCUCUAAUUGAUUUAUUUAAUUAUUUCACACAAUUUAUGAAGAUUGUGUGAAAUACAAUAGUUAUGGCAGCGGCAACAUAUUGGCAAACAAUAACUUUAAACUCAAAAUCACUAAUCUAAUACAACUCACAAUUAUUGCAGUAACCAAAGUAAAUUAUAAAAAGUUUCACAACAAUGGAGUUAAUGAAGUCUUAUUUAAAUUGGGUGGGCGGGUUAAAUUAUCUUAAAUAGGUGACCAUAUUUAAAUUAGAAAAAAAAAAGAAAUCCAAAUAGGUGCCAUGUAGGAAAACAAAGGUGGGACAUGGCGAUCUAUCGGAUGAGGGUAAAUGUAGGGUAUAAUUGUAAGGAUAAUAUGUCAAGAAAGUAUAACAAUGGGCAAAUAUAACCCUUUUUGAAGAGUAUAGGAGUAAAUAUGAUCUUAAAGUAUAACGAAAUGCAAAUGUGACCUAUUUUAACGUGUAAGGGGUAAAUAUGAACCUAAUGUAUAACUGUACAGAUAUUUUUGAUAGAAAACAUAAACGAAUGGUAAAUAAGGCCUAUUUAUAAUAGUAAAGAGGCAAAUCAGACCCUUAUCCGUUUUUUUUUCACAACUGGUUGAAAAUUCACCUUUAUCUUUGUGGAUUUGAAUGUGUUAAACACAGCCCAUGUUCUCAACUGUAUAUUAAGUAACAUCUUUCUAAAACUCAUUCCUUGUUGUAUUGCAAUCAUCACAUGUAAUGAGGACUGAGGUAGAUGCUCUACAAUCCUUUACCUCUUCUUCCUUUUUCAUUUUUUUUGCCUCUUGUUGAUCUCGUGAAUUGUAUAGAAAUGUAUGAUAACGUGAUAAAGUUUUGUGAACUUGAUCUUGUAGAAAUGAAAGAUAAGGUUAUCUACGAUAGACCUAAUAAUAUCGUCUAGUGUUUCUCAGAAUCUACACAUCGUCGGUGUUUAUUAUACCAACUUGCCAUUCUGGUCUAGAUCAAUUCAAUUAUUUCAUUUGUUGUUGUAUUAGGCUGAUAAAUUAGGAAUAUGUAUUGUUAUUACAGUAUAUUAACUGAUAGCAAAAUCUACUAUAUAUAUAUAUAUAUAUAUAUAUAUAUAAAAGAUGUCGGAACUGGAUUUUUUGUCUGAAAAACAUUAUCUAGGUGCAAAUGAAACUAGAGAAGGAAACAAACAAAGCAAACAUGAGAAGAUGAAAAAUUUCAACUAUUCUGCUUCAUAUUCAUUGUCUUAACUAGUCUAUCUUCCUCGGUACUUUUAUUCUAAUUGUAACAAGGCAGAAUAACUUUAAAAAGAAAAAUAAUGAAAUAGAAGUAACAAAACUGAAAAUAUCCAAAAAUAAAAAGGGAAAAAUAUCCUAAAAUUCUAGAUAAAUCAACUCUUCAUCCUAGCUCUCUCUCUCUCUGGUGAAUUUGGGCUUUUCACAAACCGACCCUGCAAGAAUUAAGAAAAAUAUAUAUUUGAGGUCCAAAUAGAAUAACGAUAAAUUGGGGUGUGUAUAAAUGAUUUUAAAGAACUUUAUAGGUUGAAUUGAAAUUAGCUUGUACAAAUACAACCGGACUCAAUUCUUAUCAAUGUCAAGCCGAAAUUAAGAGACUACUAAUGACAUGAAAUGGGAUUAUACAGUAAAUACCAAUGAAAAAAAUGGAACCUAAUUUACUUAUAUUGAUGUUAAUUAAGUGGAGUUAUACGUACUUCCAAAAGAAAACACUUUCUUGCCCUUCGUUAGUUUUAUUUAUAAUUCCGUUUAAUAAUAUAUGUCCAAUGAACGAGGAUUUAAGAAAAAAAUUUAAACGAAUUCUUAAACCUAUAAUCGACUUUUUCCUUUCAAAAUUCUCAAGAUUACCGAGUUAUUUGGAAAAACAAUUCAUUUAAAAAAUAAAAUAAAAAGAGAACCGUACUUACUCCAACUAUACCAAAAGUCCAAAAGUGAUUUGAAAAAUAAACAAUCAUUCAGAAAUGAUUGCAAAUGUCUAUUUUUACUCUUUUUUUUAAUUUUAUUAAAUGAAAAAUGCUCCCUAUCAUAAGUUUUUAAAUUCUUGAAACUUUAACUCGAACAUCCAAUUAAAUAGAUUUUUUUUAUCAUUUCACCCCAACCCUUAUUAAUACAAAUAUCUAUCGUUAAUCAUGAAAAUAAAAACAUCAUUCCCUAAAGUUAAAUGCCUUUAUAUGACAUUAUAGAUCUCCACAAUGUGAUUUUAACUUUGCUACCAAAAUGAUUGAGGUAAGAGUUCAUUUUCUAAUGUUAGUGGUCAAAACAAAGAAAAGUUUAUCUUAUGUUUGGAGAAAUAGAAAUAUGGCUCAUUUGUUCCUUCAUUGAAUUAUAUUAAGAAAACGGAAAAGAAUGUAUAGAAAAUUGUAGGGACAAUGAUUUACUGAUUAAAACAAAUAGACACCUUCUUAAUAUCAUAUAAGCCUGAAAAUAAGGGAAAGGAAGCGAAAGGAAGGAAUAAUUUUCCUUUCUUUUGUGAAAAUGAAAAAGGAGAACCUUCCUUUCAAAUAUAAUAAUAAUAAUAAAUAAAUAAAUAAAUAAAACGAAAUAUUAAUCGAACACUUGAAGUACUAUAAACUCAUUAAGACCGAAUUUAGAAAAUUUAGAGGCCAAAUUACAUUUUCAUAAAACUCAAGCUGCUCUUUUCAUGAUGAGUUUAACUUUUAAAUAUUGAUAAUGCAAGAAAUUCUUUAUAUUACUAUCUAGAAAAUAACUAAAGGUAAACUACAAAUAAUAAAGAAAAUUAUUGACUUAAAAAUAUGAUAAGCAACCAGCUAAAACAAGCUAAAUUUAUUGAUAAUAUAAAAAUUCUUUCACGUAUCAAUGUAUCUAAGCUAAAUCCUUUCAUAAUAACGGUACCUUCAUUCUGGGUCGUCGGUCAGCGUUGACUUUUCUAACUUGAUAUCUAAUUUUUUUAGAGAACAAACGUGUGCGUCGUUUUUCUUUGUAACGUAACACACUAGCCUCUCUUAUUCCUCCAUUCUCUGAAAAUAAGUCUAUUUGUGCUAAUCUGGCCUGCAUACAAAUUUAAUUUAAGAAAAUCAGAAUCUCGAAAAAUAAAAAAGGAAACAAAUUAUGUCAUAUUCCUAUACAUUCUUCAAUUUUAUUGAUUUUAAAUAGUUCUAAGAAGAGAAAGAUGCCACCAAGAAGGAAAGCACAAAAGGGUGAAAACAAUUACAUAAUUACAAGACACUCGAUAUUAUAGAAUAUGCUCUUGACAGAAUGACCUACUUGAAAUAGUAAUAAAUAAUUUGAUAAUAAAACAAUGUCAUUAUUUCUUUUGGAAGCAUUUAUUACGUUAACAACAUAUUCUUGAAUAAAAUAUUAAGAAAAGUAAUAAAAAAAACUAUAGCAAUCAUUAUGUGUUGUUGUAUGUUAAGGAUGCAUAGACGUAGUUAUUUCGAAAACGGAAAUAGAAAAAAAUAAUAAUAUUAUUAAAAAGAAUAGAAAAAAUAUUGAACUUUUCUAAUUUUGUAAAAGAGUACAUUAGUGUGUCAAAAAGGUCCCACUUUCAAGCUGGAAAGAAGUAGACUGUAACAUCGCUUUGAUGCCAACUACCAAUUUGAAUAUUAUGUCAUGAAUUGCACAUAAAGGAAAACGAGUCAAAUAAAAAGCAGAAAACUUUUAAAAUAUAUAUAUACAUUUAAGAAAAUAUAGAAAGAGAAAAGCGUGAGAUGCACGUGUCGUGGUCCAAAGGUAUGUUGCAGUUUAUCUUAGUAUGCUACCACUUUUAACUAAAAUAACAGAAUCAAAGUUUCAAUUGCUCAUGGAAUUCCAAAGACACUUACUUGGACAUCAUUUCCGGCAGCCUCCGAUCCCGGAAUUUCAUCGGAGAACGGCGAUUCCUUAUCGGACCACGCGUUCAAAACGUUGUUGUAGUUCAAUUUUAGAAGCAACGUCGAUUUUGGUUUUGGAAUGUCGACCUCUUCUUUGAUUGAUUGACUUGAAUUAUCCUUGUUCGUCCUCUUAGUAAUUGAAUUAUCCUUUGCUGAUGAUGAUUCUGAACCCCUUAAUUCCACCGGUUUCUCUAAUUUCUUUUUCUUCUUUUCUACCGGCGGUUUGAAUUUCGGUGUAAUGUCGAUAACAUUUACACUAGGAUACUUCCACCAAUCUCCGUCAUCAACAUUUCUCAAUGGUCGCACCCCACUUCUCAUGCCAAAAUCAUAUUGGUAUCUAUUUUCAAAUCCUAGUCCUAUUGGAAAACCAUAACAUGUACCAAAAUUGUGUUGGUGGCUGCUAUUGCUAUAACUAAAAUUGGACUCAUUCAAUGAUUCAUUCUCCACAUUUAGCUUCCCCAUAAUACUAUCAAUAUUGACACUCUCUUCAAUUUCCUCAUCCAAAAUUGACUCUGCAUCAAAAUCUUCUUCAAAUUCAUCACAAACCUCUAAUGAACUACUGCCUUUGGAAUCAAUUUCCCCUGGACUUUGGCAUGGCUUGUCACAAGAAUUCACUAACCUUUGCUCAAUUGGGCAAUUGGGUUUUUCUAGCAAUGGAGGAUGGAGUAAAAAACCCGAAUUUUCGACCAUUUGGUAAGGCACAACCAACUCUGAGGAUUCAUAUGAGAAGGGGUAGUGUGGCUUGGUAAAUUUGCAAGGCUUAGUGAGGUGUUUUGUGUUGAAUAUCUUAGGAUAGGCUGUGGAUAGAAGGGCUGCUGCUUCAUUGUAAGUUUGGUUAGGCCUUUUUCGAGGGGUUCGAGGUUUUCUAGUGGAAAUUGCAAUAGGAGAAUUGCUAGAUUCUGAAAGAGUUGAAGAAGGUGAAGAUGAUUGUGAAGUCCAUGAAUUAGAUGGAGAUUUUAUAAUUUCUAAAUCCAAUUUAUAAGCUGCCCUUCCACCUCCAGUUAAACAAGACAUUGUACUAAAGAGAAACAGAGAAGAAAUUCAAGAAUUGAAAUCUUGGAAUUUAAUGAUGAAUUCUUGAAAACCCCAUUAAGCAAUUCAGACUUAAUUCUCACAAAUCAGGCGAAUUCUUAGGCCUGCAAUUCAGAAAUGAACUUCCAAAUUGGGGAAAAAAGUGAAGUAUGAAAUAACAUGAAGAACAAAAGGAACCAAUUGGCAAGAAUGUAUUGGUUUGGUGAAGUUUUCCAAGGAAGUAGUGUUUUUUAUGGGAAAUAGACCAAACCCCUAUAAAGUAUACUUUUUCUCACUAUAAACCAAACUUCCCAAAGCACUAAUAUAAAUUUAAAAAAAAGUCAAUGAACUAAACACUUUUCAGCACCAGUUCCCUCUAUACUUGGUCCAAGAAUCCACCAGAAACAUUAAGAAAAAUUUGGCUUCAACUCACCAAACAAAACAAAUGGAGUAAAAUAAACAAACACCUCUUAGAAUUAACUAACUCCGAUCCAAAAGAAUCUAACUUAAGAAGAAGAGAGAAUUGAGCUAGGAAAGAAGAUAAAGCACUGAAUUCAAGAAAGCACUUUGAAAAAUGGGAAAUAUCUAAGGAUGGAAAUGAGGGUAUUUAAAUAAAGGAAUUCAGAAGGGUUUUGGGGUUUGGCAUAUGUAUAAAAAUAAACCAAAUAUAUAAAAUGGAACCCUGAGAAAUAGAAAGAAAGAGAGGGUUUUAGGUACAGUGGUCACGGGAGAUGUAUAUAGGAAUAGGAAGAUAAAAGGCUAAGAUUUGUUGAUGAGUUCACUAGAUAUAGCAGAGACAGUUCCCCUCUGUGUCUGUGAAGAGAUUGGGGUGUUUUGGCCUUUGAGUGAUUGAGAUCAG
RNAcentral lists this long non-coding RNA (7961 nucleotides) under Nicotiana tabacum (common tobacco). Its description in RNAcentral is "long non-coding RNA (NTAB_LNC012435)". Lineage: Eukaryota; Viridiplantae; Streptophyta; Magnoliopsida; Solanales; Solanaceae. The record is from RNAcentral.